UGCAGUCGACGGCAGCAUGAUCUAGCUUGCUAGAUUGAUGGCGAGUGGCGAACGGGUGAGUAAUACAUCGGAACGUGCCCUGUAGUGGGGGAUAACUAGUCGAAAGAUUAGCUAAUACCGCAUACGACCUGAGGGUGAAAGUGGGGGACCGCAAGGCCUCAUGCUAUAGGAGCGGCCGAUGUCUGAUUAGCUAGUUGGUGGGGUAAAGGCCCACCAAGGCGACGAUCAGUAGCUGGUCUGAGAGGACGAUCAGCCACACUGGGACUGAGACACGGCCCAGACUCCUACGGGAGGCAGCAGUGGGGAAUUUUGGACAAUGGGCGAAAGCCUGAUCCAGCAAUGCCGCGUGUGUGAAGAAGGCCUUCGGGUUGUAAAGCACUUUUGUCCGGAAAGAAAUCGCUUCGGUUAAUACCUGGAGUGGAUGACGGUACCGGAAGAAUAAGGACCGGCUAACUACGUGCCAGCAGCCGCGGUAAUACGUAGGGUCCAAGCGUUAAUCGGAAUUACUGGGCGUAAAGCGUGCGCAGGCGGUUGUGCAAGACCGAUGUGAAAUCCCCGAGCUUAACUUGGGAAUUGCAUUGGUGACUGCACGGCUAGAGUGUGUCAGAGGGGGGUAGAAUUCCACGUGUAGCAGUG
Molecule: ribosomal RNA, 636 nt
Filed under: Ralstonia sp. RZ1MS8
Lineage: Bacteria; Pseudomonadati; Pseudomonadota; Betaproteobacteria; Burkholderiales; Burkholderiaceae
Description: bacterial SSU rRNA
Rfam family: Bacterial small subunit ribosomal RNA
Source: RNAcentral